This 253-nucleotide ribosomal RNA is filed under the name uncultured bacterium. Its description in RNAcentral is "partial 16S ribosomal RNA". It matches the Rfam family "Bacterial small subunit ribosomal RNA", at positions 524 to 776 of the family's 1533-position model. The record is from RNAcentral.
UACGUAGGGUGCGAGCGUUGUCCGGAAUUACUGGGCGUAAAGAGCUCGUAGGCGGUUUGUCGCGUCGAAUGUGAAAACCCGGGGCUCAACCCCGGGCCUGCAUUCGAUACGGGCAGACUAGAGUUCGGUAGGGGAGUCUGGAAUUCCUGGUGUAGCGGUGAAAUGCGCAGAUAUCAGGAGGAACACCGGUGGCGAAGGCGGGACUCUGGGCCGAUACUGACGCUGAGGAGCGAAAGCGUGGGGAGCAAACAGG